RNAcentral lists this long non-coding RNA (1499 nucleotides) under Lonchura striata (white-rumped munia). Its description in RNAcentral is "domestica (Bengalese finch) lncRNA (ENSLSDG00000003047.1)". The record is from RNAcentral. Lineage: Eukaryota; Metazoa; Chordata; Aves; Passeriformes; Estrildidae.
GCUUCUCCCUCCUAAAAUCCUCUGGUUAAUUGUAACAAUCCCAGACACAACUUCGAAAGUACAUGCACCAAACCUACAAUCCAACCUGAACUAGAAGUGAAACCCUUCCAAGCUACUGCAUGCAUUAAAACUUGAAUGCAAAGCAAACUCCAGUGGCCUCUGUCCUUCUGCAGCCCAUCUCAGGAGUGGCUCUGUGCUGUGCAGCAGCUUCAGGAUGUGUGUGUAUUUACAGGGAGUUCUUGCUGCUGCUUUCCUGGGCCUGUCCCUCCCUUUUGGGUGGUUCAUGGGGGAUCUGUUCCUGAAAGGAGUCAGCCCCCCUGAUUCCAGAGCUCCUGUUAUUUCCAUGAUCCCACACCGUGGGAUCAGAGAGAACCUUGGCUUUGCAUGAAAACUCCAGCACACCUUUCCCUACCAGGUGUUUUGAAGGCUCGGAUUAAAUUCUCAACACAUUCUCUCCCUGUUCCCACAACAAACCACUCCAUUCCCUGGCUGGAAGAGACCACUUUGGGGCAGGAAUUAAAGACAGACAGGGCAAACAGAACAAGUGAUGGCCAGAUGGUUUUGGAGAUCAACUUCUUAAAACCACAGCCUUGAUGGGAACAGAUCUGUGCUCGCCUCUGUCCCACCAGCAUUCCCAGAGCUCUGGAAAUGCACCAGGACUGGCCAGGAGGGGUGGCUGGGGACGGUGCCCAGGUGCCAGCGGGUGUUUCUCAGGGCACACGAGCCUCUUAGAAGCAACACACGGUCCAGCACGGCCCCUGCCAAGAUGCUGGGCAGCACCAGGCCCGAGAGCUCCCCAGCCAGACUGGGUUUGCUGCACACACUCGCCGACAUGCACAAUGGGAGUCUCUAAACAGCAAAAUCAAACAGAAACAAUCAAACUUCAGCCUUCCCGCACCGCUGCUUCCUGCGGGGCUGUGAGAGGCUGGCGCACACCCACCUCCCCCAGCUCUGCUUCCUCUCCACGUGCGGAUUCCUACGGGGAAUUACAUAAUCGCACAAAACUUGGACUGCCCCGUGUCCCUGGAGACAUCCAGCUUGUUUUUGUCCCGCACCAGGAUGGCCUCGUUGCCGUACUGCGAGUACCACAUGCUCCUGCUGCGGCUCAGGCAGCGCCAUCUAAUCUCCUGCGAAGGACCCGGUGCGUUUACCCGAGCAGGGCUACUCCAGAGCUACUCCUGGUUGUUCCUGUGGGCCUUCCCGGACACAAACGAGGGGCUGUGGUUUGCUUCAGUCAGAGGGAAGGCAUGCUGCAAUCCCCUGCUCCCAGGAGAUUUAGGCCAAACACAAAGAAGAGGGAAGCAGAGAAGAAAAAAAAAAAAAAAAAAAAAAAAAAAGGAAUGACCAAUGACCACACUAUUAAAAUGUUUAUUAUCAGAAACAUCCUGACUCUGCUGUUUAAUCUGCUUCCUGCUAGUGAGGAGAAGCCAGCCCUCGUGGAAGCUGCAGAAAAAAAGUGGGAAAUCCUUUAGUGGACAGGAUUUUUUUAAGGCUUUCUU